UUUCCGUAGGCGAACCUGCGGAAGGAUCAUUAUUGUAUACCCGAGGUGCGAGGGCUGUCGCUGACCCGAAAGGUCGUGCACGCCCGAGUGCCCUCACACACAUCCAUCUCACCCCUAUGUGCACCACCGCGUGGGUACCCCUUUGGCUUGUUCGGAGGGGGGCUUACGUUUUCACACAAACUUUGUAUGCAGUGUAGAAUGUAUUUUUUGUUUUUGCGAUCAAGAAAUAAAUACAACUUUCAACAACGGAUCUCUUGGCUCUC
Molecule: unclassified non-coding RNA, 263 nt
Filed under: plant metagenome
Description: partial contains small subunit ribosomal RNA, internal transcribed spacer 1, and 5.8S ribosomal RNA
Source: RNAcentral